UACGUAGGGUGUGAGCGUUGUCCGGAAUUACUGGGCGUAAAGAGCUCGUAGGUGGUUUGUCGCGUUGUCCGUGAAAACUCACAACUCAAUUGUGGGCGUGCGGGCGAUACGGGCAGACUGGAGUACUGCAGGGGAGACUGGAAUUCCUGGUGUAGCGGUGGAAUGCGCAGAUAUCAGGAGGAACACCGGUGGCGAAGGCGGGUCUCUGGGCAGUAACUGACGCUGAGGAGCGAAAGCGUGGGGAGCGAACAGG
RNAcentral lists this ribosomal RNA (253 nucleotides) under uncultured bacterium. RNAcentral describes it as "partial 16S ribosomal RNA". It matches the Rfam family "Bacterial small subunit ribosomal RNA", at positions 524 to 776 of the family's 1533-position model. The record is from RNAcentral.